GAUGAACGCUGGCGGCGUGCCUAAUACAUGCAAGUCGAGCGAACAGACGAGGAGCUUGCUCCUCUGACGUUAGCGGCGGACGGGUGAGUAACACGUGGAUAACCUACCUAUAAGACUGGGAUAACUUCGGGAAACCGAAGCUAAUACCGGAUAAUAUAUUUAACCACAUGUUUCAAUAGUGAAAGACGGUUUUGCUGUCACUUAUAGAUGGAUCCGCUUCGCUUAAGCUAUUUGUUAAGGUAACGCCUUACCAAGGCAACGAUGAGAAGCGGACUUGAGAGGUGGAUCGCCCACACUGGAACGGGGCAAGGGUCCAGACUCCUACGGGAGGCAGAAGAGGGAAACCUUGCGCAUGGGGCGAAAGCCGGACGGGGCACGGCCGGGGGGGGGAUGAAGGUCUUCGGUUCGAAAACCCUUGUUAUAAGGGAAGAAGAAAUGUGGAGUGAACUACGCACGUCGUGACGGUACCUAAUCAGAAAGCCACGGCUAACUACGUG
RNAcentral lists this ribosomal RNA (497 nucleotides) under uncultured bacterium. Its description in RNAcentral is "partial 16S ribosomal RNA". It matches the Rfam family "Bacterial small subunit ribosomal RNA", at positions 28 to 507 of the family's 1533-position model. The record is from RNAcentral.